UCUGCAUCAAUAUUUGGCUGGAGUUUAAGUUGCCAGGAGGUAAAGGCUAUUUUGGUUUAAUUGCUUUUAUAAAAGCUUCAUGUAAUGCCAUAUCCUGUUAGGUGUUUCAUAAAGAUGUUUCAUGAUUGCAUGCACUUAACAUCAGAUACCGGUUAGGUGCUUUAAAAUAGUAGCUAAAUACUUUUACGUAUGCAAAUAUUGAGGGGUUGGAAAAACACCAUCUUUAUUCUCAGAGUCUACCAAUUAAGAUUUAUUGAUCAUAAAAUAUUUAUACAGUCGUAGGUUAAGAUGCUAUCUUAAUAGUCAUAAAGUCUGGUUAGUAACAUGGAAACUGUUUAUGAUCUAAUAAAAGUAGCCACUCUUCAUUGAGUACAUACUGUACAGCAGGAACUUUAUAUAAAUCACCUCAAAGUUUCUCAACCAAACCUCGAGGUAUGUAUUUUGUCGUCCUCAGUGUACAGAUGAGGAAGUAGAAGUUCACACAGCUUAGGGAGCUUUUCCACUGUUACUUAACUAAUAGACGGUAUUGAAGAUUGAAACUAGGGCCUUUGACUUUCAAGUUCAAGAGUUUUGACUUCACUAGCCAAUAUUAACACAAUUGAAAGAAUUGGAAUGCGAAGUUUGCAUGUGAAAUGAUGCAUGGUUUAUAAUACAAGGUACAACUAAGAAAGUAAAGACUCGAUAUGGCAGUGAGUGGAAUUAUCAGGAAUUUGCUCUCUUUUUCAAAAUUUUCUUAAUUGUUUUUGCAAGAAUUAACAAUGGAAAAAAGAAAGGAAAAGUAAAAAAGAGCUGGAACAAGUUCAACAUUGAGGCACUCAUUUCUUUUACAUGAAAGGACUUGGAUUAAUUGGAUGAACUUUGUAUAAUUUAAUUUUUCUUAGGGGAAGCAUAUAAAGACCUGCUCAGGACUAAGUAGGCAUGGUUGUUAAAGGAAGUGAACGUCUCGAUGACAACCUAAAAAAGAAACUGAUAAGAAAUAAGAUGAGCCUCAAAAGACUGGUAUUAUUAUGUUUUUAAUAAUGAAGGCAUUAGCACUGCAAUUGUUAGAAUUUUAUCUGUUCUAUCGUGAAAUAAGGAUCUAGAUAGUAUGCAGUAAUUAAAGAUUGACUUUGAUUUAGAUAAUCCAUUUUAAUUGCAUUUUUAAUUGUAGUGAAAAUUUCAUGAAGAACCAUCUAAAAAUGCUGAUGCAGAAGGGUAGCUAAUCAAGAUCACGCCGUUAUAUUUGAAUUACUAGAAAGGGACCAUGAGUGGUUAAGUGUAAAAUACAUCUCUCAAGUAACACACAAGUCCCUGUAAUCUCAUCUCACCUUCUGGGAACAAUGUAUAACAAAUUAAAGCUGGUUCAUGAAAUGUCAUACAAUCUGGCAGCAAGAUUCUAAUUGAUGAAGAAAUGGCUAUUUUAAUGAUUCUUUAACAACCAUAGAAAAUUUCCAAUUACUGGGAACCGUGACAAAAACUACCUUAAGGGGACAAAAUAAUUUCUAACAGUUUUUUCAACCAACUCAGAGGCCCCAGUGGAUGUUUUCAGACCUGUUCUCUCUUGUUUUAUUAGUUUGGUUGAAUGGAUGGGCAGCUGAUUUCUACUGUGAAUGUUUAAAAAAUUAUGUACAAAAUUAGAAAACAAAACUUGCAGUUUCCAGAUUUGCCUACGAUCGCAUUUCCCAUAAACUCAGCAAUUGAUGUUACUCUUGAAAUGAAUUUUGACGUGUGAAUUUGGGUUCAACUGGUGCCUCUGCCCUCCGUUUUGGCCUCUGCAUGCCAAUUCCCAUUGCAGCAUGUAUCACAUUGUACUUUUGGAACAGAAAUUUAUGUUUGAUCUUCCCCGGUAGGCCAUGGGGCACCGUGUGUGUUCAAUACAUAGUUUGAUAUUGAAUAGAUUAUGACUUUCCUUUUUAUUAAAAUUAUGGAUGUUGUAAUAUAUGUUGAUCUUGUAAUAUCUCUAUGUCCUUCCCACAAAUGUGUACACACACAUGCAUAGACACAAUUUUAUUGUAUCUAUCUGUCUAUCUAUCUAUCUAUCUAUCUAUCAUCUUCAUUCUGAAUAUUCCAGACAUUUCAGGGUGUAUCUGUAACCUACCUAUGAGUCUGGUUUUAUGUCUAAU
RNAcentral lists this long non-coding RNA (2102 nucleotides) under Homo sapiens (human). Its description in RNAcentral is "non-protein coding lnc-GATA3-25:1". The record is from RNAcentral. Lineage: Eukaryota; Metazoa; Chordata; Mammalia; Primates; Hominidae.